RNAcentral lists this ribosomal RNA (305 nucleotides) under uncultured Dacrymycetes. Its description in RNAcentral is "partial 28S ribosomal RNA". It matches the Rfam family "Eukaryotic large subunit ribosomal RNA", at positions 40 to 338 of the family's 3401-position model. The record is from RNAcentral. Lineage: Eukaryota; Fungi; Basidiomycota; Dacrymycetes.
AUAUCAAUAAGCGGAGGAAAAGAAACUAACAAGGAUUCCCCUAGUAACUGCGAGUGAAGCGGGAAAAGCUCAAAUUUAGAAUCUGGCAGCCUACGGUUGUCCGAGUUGUAGCCUAGAGAAGCGUUUUCUGCGUUGGACCAUGUACAAGUCCCUUGGAACAGGGCGUCAUAGAGGGUGAGAAUCCCGUACUUGACAUGGACUCCCAGGGCUAUGUGAUGCGCUCUCGAAGAGUCGGGUUGUUUGGGAAUGCAGCUCUAAAUGGGUGGUAAAUUCCAUCUAAAGCUAAAUAUUGGCGAGAGACCGAU